UAAAAGUAGCGAAGCGUGUGGAGUCACUGUCAGGAAAAGCCGCUAUUGCGUAUCAUGAACCCGUACCGUAAACCGACACAGGUGGAUGAGGAGAGAAUUCUAAGGCCGACGGAAGAAGCAUUGUUAAGGAAUUCGGCAAAAUGACCCCGUAACUUCGGGAGAAGGGGUGCCUACGAAUGUAGGCCGCAGAGAAUUGGCCCAAGCAACUGUUUAGCAAAAACACAGGUUUAUGCGAAACCGAAAGGUGAAGUAUAUGAGCUGACGCCUGCCCGGUGCUGGAAGGUUAAGGGGAGAGCUUAGAGGCAACUCGAAGGUUCGAACUUAAGCCCCAGUAAACGGCGGCCGUAACGAUAACGGUCCUAAGGUAGCGAAAUUCCUUGUCGGGUAAGUUCCGACCCGCACGAAAGGCGUAAUGAUUUGGGCACUGUCUCGACAAUGCAUCCGGUGAAAUUGAAAUACCAGUGAAGAUGCUGGUUACCCGCGCCAGGACGGAAAGACCCCAUGGAGCUUUACUCCAGUUUGAUGCUGGGAUUCGGUACUGCAUGUACAGGAUAGGCGGGAGACUAGGAAGAUAUAACGCCAGUUGUAUCAGAGUCGCUGUUGGGAUACCGCCCUUGCAGUACUGGGUUUCUAACCUGCCACCGUGAACCGGUGGAGGGACAACGUCAGGCGGGGAGUUUGACUGGGGCGGUCGCCUCCGAAAGGGUAUCGGAGGCGCUCAAAGGUUCCCUCAGAAUGGUUGGAAACCAUUCGAAGAGUGCAAAGGCAGAAGGGAGCUUGACUGCGAGGUCGACGGACCGAGCAGGUACGAAAGUAGGACUUAGUGAUCCGGUGGUAGAAAGUGGGAUUGCCAUCGCUCAACGGAUAAAAGCUACCCUGGGAUAACAGGCUAAUCACUCCCAAGAGUUCACAUCGACGGAGUGGUUUGGCACCUCGAUGUCGGCUCAUCGCAUCCUGGGGCUGUAGCAGGUCCCAAGGGUUGGGCUGUUCGCCCAUUAAAGCGGUACGCGAGCUGGGUUCAGAACGUCGUGAGACAGUUCGGUCCCUAUCCGGCGCGGGCGUAGGAUAUCUGAAAGGAGCUGGCCUUAGUACGAGAGGACCGGGCUGGACGGACCGCUGGUGUAUCUGUUGUCAUACCAAUGGCAUAGCAGGGUAGCCAAGUCUGGAAGGGAUAAACGCUGAAGGCAUCUAAGCGUGAAGCCCCCCUUAAGAUAAGAUAUCCCUGGAGUUAAUCCAGUAAGACCCCUUGAAGACGACGAGGUAGAUAGGGCAGAGGUGGAAGUGUGGUAACACAUGGAGCUGACUGUCACUAAUAGGUCGAGGGCUCGAAA
Molecule: ribosomal RNA, 1331 nt
Filed under: metagenome
Description: bacterial LSU rRNA
Rfam family: Bacterial large subunit ribosomal RNA
Source: RNAcentral